Molecule: long non-coding RNA, 233 nt
Filed under: Elaeis guineensis (African oil palm)
Lineage: Eukaryota; Viridiplantae; Streptophyta; Magnoliopsida; Arecales; Arecaceae
Description: long non-coding RNA (EGUI_LNC017705)
Source: RNAcentral
UUUAUAUCAAAAUUUUGUGAAGCAAGCACUUUGAGAGGGAGACUAUCUGGUAGUUUGAGGGUAACAUGAAGGAUUAAGUACUUUCAAAGUUUGAGCCUCAAGUUAAGCUAAUUUCAAAAUUAAAAUUAUUUUAAGGAGAGAGAAUGCAAGGAUCUAGAUUUUUUUUAUCUCUCCUGCAUGACUCUUAAAGCAACGGCAAAAAAAGUAUAUAAAAAAAAAGAGGAAUACAUGAG